RNAcentral lists this unclassified non-coding RNA (342 nucleotides) under soil metagenome. RNAcentral's name for it is "partial contains 5.8S ribosomal RNA, internal transcribed spacer 2, and large subunit ribosomal RNA". The stretch from base 1 to 120 matches the Rfam family "5.8S ribosomal RNA", at positions 35 to 154 of the family's 154-position model. The record is from RNAcentral.
GAUGAAGAACGUAGCGAAAUGCGAUAAGUAAUGUGAAUUGCAGAAUCCAGUGAAUCAUCGAAUCUUUGAACGCACAUUGCGCCCGCCAGCAUUCUGGCGGGCAUGCCUGUUCGAGCGUCAUUUCAACCCUCGACCUCCCUUUGGGGAAGUCGGCGUUGGGGACCGGCAGCACACCGCCGGCCCUGAAAUGGAGUGGCGGCCCGUCCGCGGCGACCUCUGCGUAGUAAUCCAACUCGCACCGGAACCCCGACGCGGCCACGCCGUAAAACACCCAACUUCUGAACGUUGACCUCGAAUCAGGUAGGACUACCCGCUGAACUUAAGCAUAUCAAUAAGCGGAGG